RNAcentral lists this ribosomal RNA (492 nucleotides) under uncultured bacterium. RNAcentral describes it as "partial 16S ribosomal RNA". It matches the Rfam family "Bacterial small subunit ribosomal RNA", at positions 29 to 507 of the family's 1533-position model. The record is from RNAcentral.
AGUGAACGCUGGCGGUAGGCCUAACACAUGCAAGUCGAACGGAAGCACAGUAAGCUCUUGCCCUUAACGGUGGCGACUGGCGGACGAGUGAGGAAUACAUCGGCAUCUUCUUUUUCGUGGGGGACAACGUAGAGACACUUCUGCUAAUACCGCAUAUGUCCUACCGCUUAAAGCAGGAGUUCUUCGCACCUUUCGCGUUUCUUUGAGCUGAUGUCGGAUUAGCUAGUUGGUGAGGUAAAGGCCCACCAAGGCGACGAUCCGUAGCUGGUCUGAGAGGAUGAUCGGCCACACUGGAACUGAGACACGGUCCAGACUCCUACGGGAGGCAGCAGUAGGGAAUAUUGGGCAAUGGGCGAAAGCCUGACGCAGCAAUACCGCGUGAGUGAAGAAGGUCUUCGGGUUGUAAAACCCUUUUAUUAGGGAAGAAAAGCAGUAGAUGAAUACAUCGAUGUCCUGACGGUACCUAAUGAAAAAGCAACGGCUAACUACGUG